AAAUUGAAGAGUUUGAUCAUGGCUCAGAUUGAACGCUGGCGGCAGGCCUAACACAUGCAAGUCGAACGGUAACAGGAAGCAGCUUGCUGUUUCGCUGACGAGUGGCGGACGGGUGAGUAAUGUCUGGGAAAC
This 132-nucleotide ribosomal RNA is filed under the name Escherichia coli. RNAcentral describes it as "partial 16S ribosomal RNA". It matches the Rfam family "Bacterial small subunit ribosomal RNA", at positions 1 to 125 of the family's 1533-position model. Lineage: Bacteria; Pseudomonadati; Pseudomonadota; Gammaproteobacteria; Enterobacterales; Enterobacteriaceae. The record is from RNAcentral. RNAcentral also lists the same sequence under 1 other name.